Molecule: transfer RNA, 76 nt
Filed under: Prosthecochloris sp. ZM_2
Lineage: Bacteria; Pseudomonadati; Chlorobiota; Chlorobiia; Chlorobiales; Chlorobiaceae
Description: tRNA-Lys
Rfam family: tRNA
About the family: Transfer RNA (tRNA) molecules are approximately 80 nucleotides in length. Their secondary structure includes four short double-helical elements and three loops (D, anti-codon, and T loops). Further hydrogen bonds mediate the characteristic L-shaped molecular structure. tRNAs have two regions of fundamental functional importance: the anti-codon, which is responsible for specific mRNA codon recognition, and the 3' end, to which the tRNAs corresponding amino acid is attached (by aminoacyl-tRNA synthetases). tRNAs cope with the degeneracy of the genetic code in two manners: having more than one tRNA (with a specific anti-codon) for a particular amino acid; and 'wobble' base-pairing, i.e. permitting non-standard base-pairing at the 3rd anti-codon position.
Source: RNAcentral
GCACUCGUGGCUCAAUUGGUAGAGCAACUGACUCUUAAUCAGUGGGUUGAAGGUUCGAGUCCUUCCGAGUGCACCG